RNAcentral lists this ribosomal RNA (254 nucleotides) under uncultured bacterium. Its description in RNAcentral is "partial 16S ribosomal RNA". It matches the Rfam family "Bacterial small subunit ribosomal RNA", at positions 524 to 776 of the family's 1533-position model. The record is from RNAcentral.
UACGUAGGCAGCGAGCGUUGUUCGGAGUUACUGGGCGUAAAGGGUGUGUAGGCGGUUGUUUAAGUUUGGUGUGAAAUCUCCCGGCUCAACUGGGAGGGUGCGCCGAAUACUGAAUGACUUGGAGUGCGGGAGAGGUGAGUGGAAUUCCUGGUGUAGCGGUGAAAUGCGCAGAUAUCAGGAAGAACACCCGUGGCUAAGGCGGCUCUCUAGUACGGUACUGACGCUGAGACGCGAAAGCGUGGGGAGCGAACAGG